GUCCAAUGCUGAAAUCAAUGCAUCAGACAAGUCUUUAAAUUGUUCUCAAGCUUCAUAUAAUGUUUCAUCAUCUAAUUGCUGAAAAGAUAUGAUGUCAUUUCUAAGCUU
This is a non-coding RNA of Gossypium hirsutum (cotton), 108 nucleotides long. Lineage: Eukaryota; Viridiplantae; Streptophyta; Magnoliopsida; Malvales; Malvaceae. The record is from Rfam.